CCUACGGGUGGCUGCAGUGGGGAAUCUUGGACAAUGGGGGCAACCCUGAUCCAGCCAUGCCGCGUGAACGAUGAAGGCCUUAGGGUUGUAAAGUUCUUUCAGCAGGGAAGAUAAUGACGGUACCUGCAGAAGAAGCCCCGGCUAACUCCGUGCCAGCAGCCGCGGUAAUACGGAGGGGGCUAGCGUUGUUCGGAAUUACUGGGCGUAAAGCGCGCGUAGGCGGAUUGUUAAGUCGGGGGUGAAAUCCCGGGGCUCAACCCCGGAACUGCCUCCGAUACUGGCAGUCUAGAGGUCGAGAGAGGUGAGUGGAAUUCCGAGUGUAGAGGUGAAAUUCGUAGAUAUUCGGAGGAACACCAGUGGCGAAGGCGGCUCACUGGCUCGAUUCUGACGCUGAGGUGCGAAAGCGUGGGGAGCAAACAGGAUUAGAUACCCUUGUAGUC
RNAcentral lists this ribosomal RNA (440 nucleotides) under uncultured bacterium. Its description in RNAcentral is "bacterial SSU rRNA". It matches the Rfam family "Bacterial small subunit ribosomal RNA", at positions 338 to 795 of the family's 1533-position model. The record is from RNAcentral.